Molecule: RNA transcript, 2870 nt
Organism: Zalophus californianus (California sea lion)
Lineage: Eukaryota; Metazoa; Chordata; Mammalia; Carnivora; Otariidae
Gene: GJA10
Gene name: gap junction protein alpha 10
Exons: 3
Source: RefSeq, a predicted model, not a curated record
CCAUGGAUAAUACAUAAUGAGGAUCUGCUUUGUUUUUUUGGUGAUGAUUAUUCCAGUGUUAAGGUCAAGGAACUGAGUUUUAAAAUGGAAAGACAAUUCAUCCCACUGUUAUUUAAUGAUACCUUCUGUGUGCAAAUAACAAAAUGCUUUGGAAUAUGUCUCUUUCUGCAAAGAGUGUACCUUUCCAUGAAGAGGGACAGAAGACACAACCAUCAUAAAAUUCAUCUUAAGCAUAAUGUCAAAUGAGUGGUAGAAACAAUAGUGUGGGCAUUCAGGAAUGGGAAAAAUCACUCUGACUUGGGAUGGCUAGGGUAAACUUCCUGGAGAAGUUGAGACUUAGUUAAGAUCAUGUAGGAUGUCUGGUUAAUGGCACAUCUGAUAUGGGUAAAAAAAUGAACAAAAUUUGCAAUGGAAUACAUUGUACAAAUGUGAUGGCCAUUGGAUACAGUGGAAUGACAGUCAACCUUGUGUGGGAGAGGAGAGGAUAGGCAGGAAAUUGGAUCAGAUUGUGGAGGGUCUUUAGUUUUGUUUUUGUUUUUUUUUUUCCAAAAACAUUCCUUGGAAGUAUCCUAUUUCAUCAAGCAUAAGCCAUAAAUAUUAGGGCUGGAAAAUCCUUCAUGGCUUUGCUGACAUGAAAAAAAAGAACCUGCUUCAUUGAUGAGCCUGUGUCUUUGUACAUUAUAUCCAUGAGUGCUAUUAAGUUCAGUGUUUUCUGUAUGUUUCAGACAUUAGUCUCUUACCAUGGGGGAUUGGAAUUUAUUGGGUGGCAUCCUAGAGGAAGUUCACUCCCACUCAACUAUAGUGGGGAAAAUCUGGCUGACCAUACUCUUCAUUUUCCGAAUGCUGGUACUUGGUGUGGCUGCUGAAGAUGUCUGGGAUGAUGAACAGUCAGCAUUUGCCUGCAACACCCAGCAGCCAGGUUGCAACAACAUCUGUUAUGAUGAUGCUUUCCCUAUCUCUUUGAUCAGGUUCUGGGUUUUACAGAUCAUCUUUGUGUCUUCUCCUUCUCUGGUGUAUAUGGGCCAUGUACUUUAUAGACUCAGAGCCUUCGAAAAGGAGAGGCAGAAGAAAAAGUCACACCUCCGAGUCCAGAUGGGGAAUCCCGAGCUUGAAUUGGAGGAGCAACAAAGGAUAGAUAGAGAGCUGAAGAGGUUAGAGGAGCAGAAGAGAAUUCAUAAAGUCCCUCUAAAAGGAUGUCUGCUGCGUACUUAUGUCUUACACAUCUUGACAAGAUCUGUGAUGGAAGUAGGGUUCAUGAUAGGCCAAUAUAUUCUAUAUGGGUUUCAAAUGCACCCACUUUACAAAUGCACUCAACCUCCUUGUCCUAAUGUAGUGGAUUGCUUUGUAUCCAGGCCUACAGAGAAGACAAUUUUCAUGCUCUUUAUGCACAGCAUUGCAGCCAUCUCUUUGUUCCUCAAUGUACUGGAAAUAUUUCAUCUGGGAAUCAGGAAAAUCAUGAGGGCAUUUUAUGAGAAAUCCAGCAAUGAGGGCACUGAGGAUGAAAGCAGCAUCCCAUUCCAUUUGAAAAAAUAUUCAGUGGCCCAGGAGUGUAUGAUUUGCUCUCCCUUGCCUAAAAGAAUCCCUCUACUUCAAGCAAACAAUCAACAGCAAGUCAUUCGAGUCAAUGUGCCAAAGUCUAAAACCAUGUGGCAAAGCUCACAGCCCAUGCAACUUGGAGUAGACUCUUGCUGUAUUAAAGAAGAGUGGGCUGAGAAGGAUCAGCACACUGGACAGCUCCAUGCCCACAGCCCAUGUCUCUGGGAAGCCGGUACUCAAAGUCAGCACCCCGGACAGCAACCGGACCUUUCUUCUGGCCUACACAACGCAAAGUCUCACUCCUGCCUAGGUAAAGAGAUAGCUCCCAGACACUGCCCGUCCUAUGCAAUAGGAAACUGGGGGCAGUCCCAGGAUCGACGACCCUCAGGAGAGGCUCUCACAGAUUUAAACAGUAAAUGUAGAGACAGCGAUGGCAGUGUGAGAAAGAGUGGGGUCUGGACAGACAGAUCUUAUCCGGGCAGUCACAAGGCCAGCUUUCUGCCCAGAUUACUGUCUGAAAAGGGACACUUGUACAGUGACUCAGGAAGCUCCAGUUCUCGAAACAGCUCUUGCUUGGACCUUCUGCACCAGGAAAAUAGCCCCUCGCUUCUGCCUUCAGCCACUGGGUACAGAACAUCAAUGAACAUGCUUCUAGAACUUUCAUCUCUUAUGAAAAAAUAAUUCAUGUGUGGGGCCAGAAAAAUGAACCCAGGAGUAACUGGCAUCUGCGGGAGAAAAGUUGCACUUUUGUUAGCUCAAACUUUGAGAAGAACUGCGGGAACCAUUCCCUCCACAGAGACACCCACCGGGCGAUGGAGGUGGAAAUGAGGUGUGGAGAUAGAAAGAGGCAUGAUCUGUUCCACAGUAAGUUGGUAGAAGAGCCAGUGAAGACCAGGUGGAUGAAAAUGAUGCUGGGGCCAAGUCCAAGUGGGUAUCACUAAGGGGCAGAGCAUAUUCCAGGUGCUUAAGACACGUUCUCUCUACCUUGUACAACUGUGUAAAGUUACUGUUCAUCCCCAUUUUAUAGAUCAGAGAAGGCUCAAAGAGACUAAGUAGCUUGCCCCACAGCUCAAGGUCGCACAGCUGAAGUGUCUGCCGUGCAGCUGAAUUCAGACCCAGAUCCCGCUGCUCCAAGGCGCAAACUCCUUCCAGGAAGCCAUGAAGCCAUGCUCUCUCCUAUCCAUGACGAUCAGCAGCCCCUGGGCAAUGAUUUAUUUGCACAUCUUCCUGUCCAACUAGCCUGUGGAAGCUGUAAGGAUAAGGGCUGUACAUUUUCAAUCUUGGAUGCCCAGCAUGCAGCACAGUGUUGGUUGGUUGAAUGAACGUAUGUUUCU